CCUCCACGAGACUAGCGCCGUCGCCGGAGCACAAGGCCAUGGCGGAGCUGGUGAGGGCUCGCCGCCUCGCCCUCGCCCUCGCCCUCGCCGCCAGCCCCAGCGCUGCGGACGUGCUUGUGAGCUCUGCAUGUUCGAUUCGCGAUCGCACCAUCUGAUUGUGGAUUGCAAUGCAGGAGACGGUGAGGUGCUGCGGCGGCUACACGGCACGGGACUGCCGCCCGGGCCCCGCCCCCAACGUCCUCUCUCACCGCGUACGCUCGGUGGCAGGGAGCUAAUGAUUUAGCACUUGGACACUGUAAGUCCAAAGAUAAAUCACUGAUGAAGAAAUCAAAGCUGCUUCAUUCCUUCAGAUGAGCAUCGUGAACCAGGCUUUGUUCAUUCUGAUGAUUGCUGCCUCAUCAGAUGUCCUGGGCCUUUCGUCACAUUUGCCUUUGUUGUUUCCCAGAUGUUCACAGAUGGAGAUGCUCAAAGAUGACUAGUGAAAAAUUGUUGACAAUAUGCAUGCAAUCAGCCAUCCUACGCAUAGUUGUUCCCUUGUGUUCGUAUGUGAUACUUGAUUUUAGGGUACAACAGCCGGUCUUCAGUUAGAUUGAUCAGAUGCAUUACUGGAGCUAUCACCUGUAAAUCUCUCAAGUAAAUAGAUAUCUGCCAGAAGAUUUUCCAUCUGACCGACCCUUCAUGAUUAAAUUUACAGUUGUGAAGUCACUACUUUAUGUUGGUAAGAUCAAAAUUUUGUUGGAGCUACAGAAUGUUCAUUGAUUUACUCUAUAUAUGCUCUACAGUUAAGAAGCAAUAUGUUUGGAAGAGAAAUAUGUAGUGCCCCCUAUUCUAGAAUACAUAGACAUACAGUACCCUGAAAGUCGAGCAUGCUAACUUUUGGAUCAACGUUACACUUGCAACCAGAUUGAUUGAACCUGAAGAAACUAGCUUGUUAAUCUUAACAUUUUACUUCUUUUUUUCUAUGCAAUUCCAAUUUUGUCAGUUUUCUUUAUCUACUCAUUUUAACAUUUUUUAUUUCCGUGUAAAAGUAUAUUCCACUUUCCACUUGCUAUUCUAUUUGUUAGUAUAGCUUGUUGCAGAUUUCAACCCUUUAAGAUUUUUUUUCUCUUUUCCUCUGCCAUAUUGAGCUAGAAAGAGUUUAUCUCCAGCACUGGAUCAAUAACGAAGUUGAAGCCGAAAAAAUAAACUUUCAUGAGUGUCGAUGGGAUAAAUUGAACAGAUCUGUAGCUUAUAGUAAUCUAUACACGAUCUUUUUUGUUGUUGUUUACGAAACAUGCAAUCUUAUUAUUUAUGAUGAUAUGAAAAUGUCCAAGAUAAGCUACCUGUGAUCUCCUGUAAAAUUCUCUAAAGAAAGUAGGAGGAUAAUAUUUCAUUGACCUUCAGAUUGUUACUCUAUCAGGUAAUUGCAUCCGCUAAUAGCACCGUGACACAAUCUUCAAGCCCUCUGUAAAUACUAUAAAUUUCAAGUGGUGUUUAGAUAUCUUAUCUUUGUAGAUUUAAAAUUACUUUGGUGUUUACAGUGGCAAUCGAGCAGGUCAUGCAUGACCUAGGUGGCUGCUGGAGUCUGCAGGAACUGCUGUGCAUAUGCAUCAAUUGGUUCCUGCCUGAGUAGUUUUAUGGUGGUGCAGUUAGCAAGCCUCACGAUCACAUUGGCAGGUUGAAGUUGAACCCAGGCCAUGCAAUAAUGCAGAUGGACGAUGCAUGAUCAGGCCGGCGGCGUUGAUGUGUGGCGGCAGGACUAGACAUUGAUCUUGCCAAUGAGGGGGAUGCCGAUGGCGGUGACGAUGAGGG
Molecule: long non-coding RNA, 1791 nt
Organism: Panicum virgatum (switchgrass)
Lineage: Eukaryota; Viridiplantae; Streptophyta; Magnoliopsida; Poales; Poaceae
Exons: 4
Source: RefSeq, a predicted model, not a curated record